GUCUACGGCCAUGCUACCCUGAACAAGCCCGAUCCUGUCUGAUCUCGGAACCUAAGCAGAGUCAGGCCUGGUUAGUACUUGGAUGGGAGACCACCUAGGAAGAUCUGGUGCUGUAGGUG
Molecule: ribosomal RNA, 119 nt
Filed under: Pteropus alecto (black flying fox)
Lineage: Eukaryota; Metazoa; Chordata; Mammalia; Chiroptera; Pteropodidae
Source: RNAcentral